GACGAACGCUGGCGGCGUGCUUAACACAUGCAAGUCGAACGGAAAGGCCCUGCUUGCAGGGUACUCGAGUGGCGAACGGGUGAGUAACACGUGGGUGAUCUGCCCUGCACUUCGGGAUAAGCCCGGGAAACUGGGUCUAAUACCGGAUAGGAGCCAUUUUUAGUGUGAUGGUUGGAAAGUUUUUUCGGUGUAGGAUGAGCUCGCGGCCUAUCAGCUUGUUGGUGGGGUAAUGGCCUACCAAGGCGGCGACGGGUAGCCGGCCUGAGAGGGUGGACGGCCACAUUGGGACUGAGAGACGGCCCAGACUCCUACGGGAGGCAGCAGUGGGGAAUAUUGCACAAUGGGCGCAAGCCUGAUGCAGCGACGCCGCGUGGGGGAUGACGGCCUUCGGGUUGUAAACUCCUUUCGCUAGGGACGAAGCUUUUUGUGACGGUACCUAGAUAAGAAGCACCGGCUAACUACGUG
RNAcentral lists this ribosomal RNA (465 nucleotides) under uncultured bacterium. RNAcentral's name for it is "partial 16S ribosomal RNA". It matches the Rfam family "Bacterial small subunit ribosomal RNA", at positions 28 to 507 of the family's 1533-position model. The record is from RNAcentral.